UUUAAGUGGAAUCCUACAGUGUUUAUCCGUUUGUGACCAGUGUAGAUCAUUUCGUGUAAUGUCCUUCAGUUUCAGCCGUGCCGUAGCUUGUGGCAGGGUUUCCUUCCUUUUUAAGGCCAUGUGACAUUCCAGUCCCACCUUGCUAAAGCAGUUUACCUGGUCACUGGGGUGACUCUGGAGCUCCCCUCUGGCCUCACUGCCUGUGCUUGGUCAUGUUGGCUAGCUGUCCUCCCUUCUCCACCUCUGAGUCUACAAGGGCUGCACUCCACGGAGGUCCCAUGCGUCAGCCCCGACCGCAGCGCUUGGCUCUGCUGCUGUGUCCCGUCCCCGUGAAGGCUCAGCAGGCACUCACUGGGCCUUCUCCCCUGCUCACUGCUCCGCACUCUGCACCCCACCCGCACUGUGCGUCUUCACCCUGCCUGGCCUGGGCCACUGUCCCUUCCUGCUCAGAUCAGUCAGCAGGGUGCCUCAGCUUGUUCCCCACCUCCACCCUGGCCCCCUGCCAUCUUUUCUGCACAUGGGCAUGAGUGAACCUAUUCAAGUGAAAUUCACAUUUUCUCAUGUCUCAUCAGAACCCCCAAAGCCUCCCCAGUCUCUGAUAACACAUCCAGGGUCUUUCGGUGGCCUGGAGGAGCUAUAAGAUCUGCUUCCUACAGCCUCCACCCUGUCUGCUGCUGCUCUUUGGACACCGGACCUUACACACCCCUCAGACAGUACAGCACCCACCCUGCCCUUCAACUCUUGCUUGGCCCCGUAAGCCAGUCCUUCCAGGCUCCUGCCUCCUCUGGUCAUUCCCUGCGUGGGCCUCUCGCAGGAAGCAGUUUUCCUGUGUCCCCCGCCGACCCCCUGCAGGAGGUAAGCUGCAUGAGGGCAGUAUCAUGUUGCCUAGCACCUUGGCCCACAUGGAGCAGGUGCCAAGCAGAUAUGUAUUGGGUGGAGGACCCUCUCCCUGUGGCCUUUUAUCUAUUUGUUCUCACAGGGUUUGCCAGGUUUGGCUGCAGUUCAUGUCACUUGAGGACAUUCCUUUCCAGCGCCGUUGGCUUUGUGGCUGUGGCUCUGUCACAGCUCCAGCUGUGCUAUCAUUGGUCCACAUUGUCCCCUCCCCUAUUUGCUGUGACUCCCAUGGGAAGAUCCUAUCUCUGUUCCUCUCGCACUGGGGCAAAGCAGUGCUGGCAGGGGGCUGGGGAACUGGCGGGUGGCCUCUCCUGGGCAGGAAGUCCAUGGCACCCAGGUGCUCCCUGUGCUCCAGAGGGGCUGGGGAGGUUUCAUGGAGUCAAUAGGCAUUGGCAAGCUGACAUGUCCCCUGUCCCACGCAGGCCUGUUGCAGUCUCCAAGGCACCAUGAAUGCCAUCGUGGCUCUCUGCCACUUCUGCGAGCUCCACGGCCCCCGCACUCUCUUCUGCACGGAGGUGCUGCACGCCCCACUUCCUCAAGGGGAUGGGAAUGAGGACAGUCCUGGCCAGGGUGAGCAGGCGGAAGAAGAGGAAGGUGGCAUUCAGAUGAACAGUCGGAUGCGUGCGCACAGCCCCGCAGAGGGGGCCAGCGUCGAGUCCAGCAGCCCGGGGCCCAAAAAGUCGGACAUGUGCGAGGGCUGCCGGUCACUUGCUGCAGGGCACCCGGGAUAUAUCAGCCAUGAUAAAGAGACCUCCAUUAAAUACGUCAGCCACCAGCACCCCAGCCACCCCCAGCUCUUCAGCAUUGUCCGCCAGGCCUGUGUCCGGAGCCUGAGCUGUGAGGUGAGCCUUGUGGCCACAGAGCCUGUCUCUGUGGGAGCCCACAUGCUCCCAGGUGCUCUGGGUGGGCUCGGAGCCAGCAUUGCACAGGGAGGCAGGCACUGGUCCUCUCUCAGGGCGGACCCGCAGAUCAGCACAGCACAGGGUACAGGACGCCUCCCUUGUCCAGAAUUGCGGGAGGAGUCAUGUUGGACUUGCUGAGCAUUUUCUGAUUGAGUGCUAGCUUUUGCACUUUAAGCACCGAACUUUUAUUAUUUGUCCUUUCUUUAUUAUUAUUGUUUUCUUUUUUCCUUCUUUUGUGUCAGGGUCUCGCUCUGUCGUCCAGACUGGAGUGCAGUGGUGCCGUCAUGGUUCACUGCAACCUCAAACUCCUGGGCUCAAGCGAUCCUCCCGCCUUAGCCUCCCAGGUGGCUGGGACCACUGGUGUGUGCCACCAUGCUCAACUGGGGUUUGUUUUUUGUUGUUGUUAAGACAGAGUCUCACUCGGUUGCCCAGGCUGGAGUGCAGUGGUGCAAUCUCGGCUUACUGCAACCUCCACCCUGGGUUUAAGUGAUUCUUCUGUCUCAGCUAUCCUGAGUAGCUGGGACAACAGGCGUGUGCCACCAUGCCCGGCUAAUUUUUUGUAUUUUUAGUAGAGAAGAGAUUUCACCAUGUUGGCCGAGCUGGUCUUGAACUCCUGACCUUGUGAUUUGCCCGCCUCGGCCUCCCGAAGUGCUGGGAUUACAGGUGGGAGCCACUGUGCCCCACCUUUUUAAAAUUUUUUUGUAGAGAUGAGGUCUCAGUAUGUUGCCCAGGUUGGUCUCGAACUCAAGCAAUCCUCUGGCUCAUCCUCCCAAAGCACUAGGAUUACAGGUGUGAGCCGCCAUGCCCAGCCAUGUGUGUCUAUUCUUGAUGGAUGUAUUCCUAAGAUAGGAAGCAUUUCUAGGUUAGGUGGUUCAUUGCAUCAACAUCACCUUUUUUUAUUAUCUCAGUCCUCAUUCCAAGUCUCAGUGAUGAUCCCGUGCUGCUCUCAGCCUGCUGAGGUGUGGAUGAUUUCUUCCUAAACUACGUCGCUGCUGCUGUUGCUCUUGACUCUGAGCUCAGGUCUUUGUUACAAAGAAUUCGUCGUUCAGUUACUAAACUUCCUUGUCAUUGGUGUCCACCCAGUUCGACACACCAAGCUCCCUUACUGUUCUCAUUCAGUGUGGCUGUGUGCCUGCCCUCAACUGUCCUCUCCUUUUAAUUUCCUACCGCUGGUCUGCUAGCAGGCAGCUCGGCAUGUCUGUUAGAAUUGUGUGUUAAGGAAGAGUAAGUAUGUAAUGAGGAGGGACUGAAAUCCUCUUAUAAGAAUAAAGUACGUGGGGCUGGGCAUGGUGGCCCACUCCUGUAAUCCCAGCCCUUUGGGAGGCCAAGGCCGGCAGAUCACCUGAGGUCAGGAGUUCGAGACCAGCCUGGCCAACAUGGUGAAACCCCCUCUCUAAAAAAAAUACAAAAAAAUUAGCCAGGCGUGGUGGCACACUCUUACAAUCCCAGCUACUCAGGAGGCUGAGGCAGGAGAAUUGCUUGAACCCAGGAGACGGAGGUUGCAGUGGGCCAGGAUCACACCACUGCAUUCCAGCCUGGGUGACAAGAGCGAGACUCCAUCUC
RNAcentral lists this long non-coding RNA (3359 nucleotides) under Homo sapiens (human). RNAcentral's name for it is "non-protein coding lnc-FLCN-1:3". Lineage: Eukaryota; Metazoa; Chordata; Mammalia; Primates; Hominidae. The record is from RNAcentral.